RNAcentral lists this RNase P RNA (362 nucleotides) under Pedobacter sp. Hv1. Its description in RNAcentral is "Bacterial RNase P class A". It matches the Rfam family "Bacterial RNase P class A". Rfam says of the family: Ribonuclease P (RNase P) is a ubiquitous endoribonuclease, found in archaea, bacteria and eukarya as well as chloroplasts and mitochondria. Lineage: Bacteria; Pseudomonadati; Bacteroidota; Sphingobacteriia; Sphingobacteriales; Sphingobacteriaceae. The record is from Rfam by way of RNAcentral.
AAUGCAAGCCAUUCUAUCGCCGUUCUGCGCAAUCAGAAAGGAGGAAAGUCCGGGCAACAUAGAGCAUCUCGCUUCCUAACGGGAAGGAAUUUGGGAUUGAAGACCUGAAUGACGGAAAGUGCCACAGAAAAUAUACCGUCUCGAUUAAUCGAGGUAAGGGUGAAAACGUGAGGUAAGAGCUCACGAACUCGCUAAGUGAUUAGUGUUUUGGUAAACCCCGGGAGUUGAAAGACCAAAUAGGCUAACGCAUGUAGGGCUGCUCGCUCGAUGUUAGUGGGUAGGUCGUUAGAGAUAAAUGGCAACGUUUAUACUAGAUUAAUGAUAGAAGAGAACAGAACCCGGCUUAUAGGCUUGCAUUUUUU